GCCGAUGUAGCUCAGUGGUAGAGCAGGGUUUUCAUAAGACCAAGGUCGGAGGUUCGAUCCCUCCCAUCGGCA
This 72-nucleotide transfer RNA is filed under the name bacterium. RNAcentral's name for it is "tRNA-Met". It matches the Rfam family "tRNA". Rfam says of the family: Transfer RNA (tRNA) molecules are approximately 80 nucleotides in length. Their secondary structure includes four short double-helical elements and three loops (D, anti-codon, and T loops). RNAcentral also lists the same sequence under 1 other name. The record is from RNAcentral.